Molecule: ribosomal RNA, 563 nt
Filed under: Serratia marcescens
Lineage: Bacteria; Pseudomonadati; Pseudomonadota; Gammaproteobacteria; Enterobacterales; Yersiniaceae
Description: bacterial SSU rRNA
Rfam family: Bacterial small subunit ribosomal RNA
Source: RNAcentral
CUCUUGACAUCCAGAGAACUUUCCAGAGAUGGAUUGGUGCCUUCGGGAACUCUGAGACAGGUGCUGCAUGGCUGUCGUCAGCUCGUGUUGUGAAAUGUUGGGUUAAGUCCCGCAACGAGCGCAACCCUUAUCCUUUGUUGCCAGCGGUUCGGCCGGGAACUCAAAGGAGACUGCCAGUGAUAAACUGGAGGAAGGUGGGGAUGACGUCAAGUCAUCAUGGCCCUUACGAGUAGGGCUACACACGUGCUACAAUGGCGUAUACAAAGAGAAGCGACCUCGCGAGAGCAAGCGGACCUCAUAAAGUACGUCGUAGUCCGGAUUGGAGUCUGCAACUCGACUCCAUGAAGUCGGAAUCGCUAGUAAUCGUAGAUCAGAAUGCUACGGUGAAUACGUUCCCGGGCCUUGUACACACCGCCCGUCACACCAUGGGAGUGGGUUGCAAAAGAAGUAGGUAGCUUAACCUUCGGGAGGGCGCUUACCACUUUGUGAUUCAUGACUGGGGUGAAGUCGUAACAAGGUAACCGUAGGGGAACCUGCGGUUGGAUCACCUCCUUACCUAAAGA